This 1579-nucleotide long non-coding RNA is filed under the name Homo sapiens (human). RNAcentral describes it as "HSALNT0310951". Lineage: Eukaryota; Metazoa; Chordata; Mammalia; Primates; Hominidae. The record is from RNAcentral.
AUUUGGGUCCAGAAGAUAUUCUCUUUAUAGUCUUGAGAAGCACAAUAAUCAAUUCCUUUAAGAGAGAAAAAUGUGUUUUUUUCCAAACAUAUUGCACGGAAAAGAUAAGGCAGCUUCUCCCUAGGGAGAUGGGAAGAACAAACAGUGUUGUCAACACAGGAAGGCUGCUGUAGAGGUGGACACAUCCCCCUGCCACCCUGAUUAGAGGAAGCCAGGAAGUAAGGGCGGUUUACUUGGAAACUACAAUGAGAACCAUGCUGCAGCCCCAAGUGGGGAAGGGGAGAAGCAACCUAAUCCGGGGAAGGCUGUGAUUCCAACAUGGCAUUUUCCUUCCAUCCUCCACAGCAUGUCUUUCUGAAUCUGUGUCUGCAAUGCCAGGGAAGAGCCAUCAGGCCUGUGCUCCCCAAAACAGAGCUGAAGAGUGGACCUCAGGAACCUGGUAAAGAUUUAGAAUGAGAGAAAAAAACUAUAGAACUAUGAAUUCAGACUGACUCUAGGGUAAAAAAAAUGAGUUUGUAUGGUAGAUUUGCACUGUGCAAAUUUAGCUAAGCAGGAGCUAUGUUUCCCAGGAUCCCUGUCUCUGCAUAAUUUCAGGUUAGCGUGGGCCACCAGAAACACACAUGAUGGGAUUUGGAAGGCUGAAGUUAAGCGUCAAUCACAUUCCUUUAAAGCACUGAAGAUCGGUGCAGGCAAAAGUGCAGAGCACAGGCACCACUGCAGCUCACCAAGUGAUUUCUGCUCUCUGGCUCACAUUAUUGACAUUGAGCAGAAGCCGGGCAUGCAGCUUCAUCAGCUCUCACCAGAUUUGCUUCCUUCAGUUUCUCCAGCUCCUGGGUCAGUUACAUGUUUAGCAACAUGAUGAAGCAAAGCAGUUUCUCUUGCAGGUCACUGGCAUCAUUGAAUUUGGAGGCUUCAAGACAGAGGCUGAAAAACAGUUUGCCUCUGUGAUUUCCAGCCUGUCCCCCUGAAUUCCAAUUUAUCAUUUCUCUCCAACAUUUCAUGUCUGUCUUUCCUUCUCGAUGUCCUGCUCUGCUAACUUCAGUCUCCAAUGCAAGACAUAGAAGCAACAGCCACACAUAAACUGUUUAGUCAGCUCCCAUAAUUGGGAAAAGUAAAAUAUUUGCAAUAAACAAUUGAUUCUACAUCACUUCCUGUGGUUCUGUUUCUCUGGGCAAACCCAACUUGAUACCAUCUGAAUAGUAGAAGUGAACCCACCAAUGUUCUUUGUGCUGGAAUUGACCUGGUUGUUAACCUAACUGGAUGAUUUGAUAGAGGCAAGAUAGAACAAUUGAGAUUUCUGACAAAGUUGUCAGGGAAAUAUAAUUGUAAAAUUGAAGAAUGGAACAGGAGCAGAUGGCAAUAAAUACCCAUGCUGAAGCAAUGAAAAUGACAGUUGGAAACCUUGAGAAUUCUGAAUUAAAUGUUUGGAGGAAGUCUUGGAAAAUCCUCAAAAGUUUGUUGAAGGGAACAAACUUUUGCUGCUGGCCAUGAAGGAGUAAAUGGAACUGGACUUGUUUGUACACCAUAAAAACUAGAAAACUAAACAAAAAAUACACGAAACAAUUUUCAAACAUUGGGC